GAUGAACGCUGGCUACAGGCUUAACACAUGCAAGUCGAGGGGAAACGACGGGGAAGCUUGCUUCCCCGGGCGUCGACCGGCGCACGGGUGAGUAACGCGUAUCCAACCUGCCUCUGACUGAGGGAUAACCCGUCGAAAGUCGGCCUAAUACCUCAUGGUAUCGUCUGCGGGCAUCCAACGACGAUUAAAGAUUUCAUCGGUCAGGGAUGGGGAUGCGUCUGAUUAGCUUGUUGGCGGGGUAACGGCCCACCAAGGCUACGAUCAGUAGGGGUUCUGAGAGGAAGGUCCCCCACAUUGGAACUGAGACACGGUCCAAACGCCUACGGGAGGCAGCAGUGAGGAAUAUUGGUCAAUGGGCGAGAGCCUGAACCAGCCAAGUAGCGUGCAGGAAGACGGCCCUAUGGGUUGUAAACUGCUUUUAGGCGGGGAUAAAGUGAGGGACGGGUCCCUCAUUGCAGGUACCGCAUGAAUAAGGACCGGCUAAUUCCGUG
This 491-nucleotide ribosomal RNA is filed under the name uncultured bacterium. RNAcentral describes it as "partial 16S ribosomal RNA". It matches the Rfam family "Bacterial small subunit ribosomal RNA", at positions 28 to 507 of the family's 1533-position model. The record is from RNAcentral.